GGGCCUAUAGUUAAAUGGUAGAACACCUCAUUUGCAAUGAGGAGAUGCGAGUUCGAUUCUCGCUAGGUCCA
This 71-nucleotide transfer RNA is filed under the name bacterium. RNAcentral describes it as "tRNA-Ala". It matches the Rfam family "tRNA". From Rfam's summary of the family: Transfer RNA (tRNA) molecules are approximately 80 nucleotides in length. Their secondary structure includes four short double-helical elements and three loops (D, anti-codon, and T loops). Further hydrogen bonds mediate the characteristic L-shaped molecular structure. tRNAs have two regions of fundamental functional importance: the anti-codon, which is responsible for specific mRNA codon recognition, and the 3' end, to which the tRNAs corresponding amino acid is attached (by aminoacyl-tRNA synthetases). tRNAs cope with the degeneracy of the genetic code in two manners: having more than one tRNA (with a specific anti-codon) for a particular amino acid; and 'wobble' base-pairing, i.e. permitting non-standard base-pairing at the 3rd anti-codon position. The record is from RNAcentral.